RNAcentral lists this ribosomal RNA (253 nucleotides) under uncultured bacterium. Its description in RNAcentral is "partial 16S ribosomal RNA". It matches the Rfam family "Bacterial small subunit ribosomal RNA", at positions 524 to 776 of the family's 1533-position model. The record is from RNAcentral.
UACGUAGGGCGCAAGCGUUAUCCGGAAUUAUUGGGCGUAAAGAGCUCGUAGGCGGUUUGUCGCGUCUGCCGUGAAAGUCCGGGGCUCAACUCCGGAUCUGCGGUGGGUACGGGCAGACUAGAGUGCAGUAGGGGAGACUGGAAUUCCUGGUGUAGCGGUGAAAUGCGCAGAUAUCAGGAGGAACACCGGUGGCGAAGGCAGGUCUCUGGGCUGUAACUGACGCUGAGGAGCGAAAGCAUGGGGAGCAAACAGG